RNAcentral lists this ribosomal RNA (1159 nucleotides) under Wolbachia endosymbiont of Pseudolynchia sp. ES-2018. Its description in RNAcentral is "bacterial SSU rRNA". It matches the Rfam family "Bacterial small subunit ribosomal RNA", at positions 46 to 1233 of the family's 1533-position model. The record is from RNAcentral. Lineage: Bacteria; Pseudomonadati; Pseudomonadota; Alphaproteobacteria; Rickettsiales; Anaplasmataceae.
GCUUAACACAUGCAAGUCGAACGGGGUUAUAUUGUAGCUUGCUAUGGUAUAACUUAGUGGCAGACGGGUGAGUAAUGUAUAGGAAUCUACCUAGUAGUACGGAAUAAUUGUUGGAAACGGCAACUAAUACCGUAUACGCCCUACGGGGGAAAGAUUUAUUGCUAUUAGAUGAGCCUAUAUUAGAUUAGCUAGUUGGUAAGGUAAUGGCUUACCAAGGCAAUGAUCUAUAGCUGAUCUGAGAGGAUGAUCAGCCACACUGGAACUGAGAUACGGUCCAGACUCCUACGGGAGGCAGCAGUGGGGAAUAUUGGACAAUGGGCGAAAGCCUGAUCCAGCCAUGCCGCAUGAGUGAAGAAGGCCUUUGGGUUGUAAAGCUCUUUCGGUGAGGAAGAUAAUGACGGUACUCACAGAAGAAGUCCUGGCUAACUCCGUGCCAGCAGCCGCGGUAAUACGGAGAGGGCUAGCGUUAUUCGGAAUUAUUGGGCGUAAAGAGCGCGUAGGCUGGUUAGUAAGUUAAAAGUGAAAUCCCAAAGCUCAACUUUGGAAUUGCUUUUAAAACUGCUAACCUAGAGAUUGAAAGAGGAUAGAGGAAUUCCUAGUGUAGAGGUGAAAUUCGUAAAUAUUAGGAGGAACACCAGUGGCGAAGGCGUCUAUCUGGUUCAAAUCUGACGCUGAGGCGCGAAGGCGUGGGGAGCAAACAGGAUUAGAUACCCUGGUAGUCCACGCUGUAAACGAUGAAUGUUAAAUAUGGGAAGUUUACUUUCUGUAUUACAGCUAACGCGUUAAACAUUCCGCCUGGGGACUACGGUCGCAAGAUUAAAACUCAAAGGAAUUGACGGGGACCCGCACAAGCGGUGGAGCAUGUGGUUUAAUUCGAUGCAACGCGAAAAACCUUACCACUCCUUGACAUGGAAAUCAUACCUAUUCGAAGGGAUAGGGUCGGUUCGGCCGGAUUUCACACAGGUGUUGCAUGGCUGUCGUCAGCUCGUGUCGUGAGAUGUUGGGUUAAGUCCCGCAACGAGCGUAACCCUCAUCCUUAGUUACCAUCAGGUAAUGCUGGGGACUUUAAGGAAACUGCUAGUGAUAAACUGGAGGAAGGUGGGGAUGAUGUCAAGUCAUCAUGGCCCUUAUGGAGUGGGCUACACACGUGCUACAAUGG